RNA transcript from Capsella rubella, 934 nucleotides. RefSeq lists it as uncharacterized. The transcript is spliced from 3 exons. NCBI's taxonomy places the organism in Eukaryota, Viridiplantae, Streptophyta, Magnoliopsida, Brassicales, Brassicaceae. The record is from RefSeq and is a predicted model, not a curated record.
UUCAGAGUCUUUUUUUUUUUUUUGUGUUUUCAUCUCGUUUGCCCAAAUCUGCCUUUCUCCAAGAAGCGAAGCUCUCUCAUCCAUGGCGAAAUCAGCGGCGACGGCGGCUUCCUCGCUUGUGCAAAACCUUAGGCGAUACAUUAAGAAGCCAUGGCAGAUCACUGGACCUUGCGCUCACCCGGAAUAUCUCGAAGCUGUGCCCAAGGCGACGGAGUAUCGUCUCCGAUGCCCCGCAACGACUGAUGGAGAGGCGAUCGUGCCCACCUCGGAUCCCGAGACCGUGUACAACAUCGUAUACCACGGCCGAGAUCAGCGCCGAAACCGCCCACCGAUCCGGCGCUACCUAUUGAAGAAGGACAACGUUGUUCAGAUGAUGAAUGAGAAGAAGACGUUCGACGUCUCGGACUUCCCUAACGUUUACCUGACUACCACAGUCGAAGAGGAUUUGGACACGCGUGGCGGAGGCUACGUCAAAUAAACAGGUGAUUGGCCGCAUGAGAAUUAUCAAAUUAUUGGCUUCUGCUUUGAUGUACACUGCUUUAUCAAGUGACUGAAUGACUUUUCGAGUAGGGUGCCGCUGAGUGAAAAUUGUGGUCAUAUGCUAAUGGACUAGUGGAUUUCCUUUGGGACAUUAUUUGUGGUUUCUUUCAUCUCGUCUUUCUCUUGUAAUCUCGUGAUAGGCGAAAGACUGCGUGUGAUAUUUCGUUACUUCCGAUAAAAAAAACCUCUCCCUUGUUUGCCUUAUCUAAUAAAAUUUCUAGUAGCUUUAUAAACUACAAAACACUUCAUUUGCCUUCACAAGAACAAGAUUGUUGUUCAGUCGUAUUCCCUAUGUUUAUGAUGAACCCGUGAUUGUUUCAAGUUUAAGUGAUUUGGAAAUGGUUAUAAAUGUAACACAGAGAGUUAGUAGUCUCUGUGCUUUCGGGGACCCUUU